Long non-coding RNA from Polyodon spathula (Mississippi paddlefish), 1164 nucleotides. RefSeq lists it as uncharacterized. Lineage: Eukaryota; Metazoa; Chordata; Actinopteri; Acipenseriformes; Polyodontidae. The transcript is spliced from 3 exons. The record is from RefSeq and is a predicted model, not a curated record.
AUGUUUUGGUAGCUUUCUUCUUCCAGACCCUGCUGCUCCCCUUUAUAAAGAAAACAACUCUCCCAAAUUUGGAGGUGACUUCCCUGGAGGCAAGAAUCUAAUUGUGUCUCUGUGUCUGGCAACGGUGGAUGGAGGGGUGGUAUAUGCCUAUAGCUCAACGCAGUAAGACUCUGAAGUUGAAGUUGACCUGUACUGUGGGACAGCACAAGCCUGUGCCAUUGCUGUUUGAAGAUAGGGAGGUCCUUGGAAAGAGGCAAAGAGUUCUUUCUGGCUGUGGUUCCCCUGUCUUAUCUCCAUGGUCCCUGGCUAAUACAGGCACGUUUAUGCCAUGCAUUCGGAGGUGCCAGACACAACGUGGGUCCCAUAAUAAUAUCCAGUUAAGUGUGACUGUGAAUUGCACGGUCCAAAGAGACACAGUGAAAGAAAAAUGAUGUUAUACUGAUGCAAAAGAUAGGAUGAAAAUAAACAGAAGAACUCAUACAGGUAAAUCUCUAAAAUUAAGUAAAUUAUACUUAUUUUCUAUGUAAAUAAAAAAAAACGAUGUAUUUCUGAUUGCAUAGUUUAUACAUGUCAAUGCGGUAUCAUGAUCUAUUUUGUGUUAACUGUGUACUAAGUAGGCUACAGUAAACAAAACACAAAAAAAGUGCUGAAAUCAUUUAGUUUCAAUUUAAAAUAACCUUGUAUUAUUUUCACAUUGUACAGUAGCCUAAUGUGUAUAAUGGAGCAGCACUGAUUUUGUGUUACUUGGAAGCCUGUACACUAAAGUAAAAAGAAAGUGUGCUAGGUAUUAAUUCGAUUUUACUGCUAUACUGUAUACUGUAUAGACCUACUGUGCAGAUUUAUAUUUUAACAUAAUGCUUACAGAGAACACAGUGAUGUUAUUUCAGCGCAAUGAUUUAUACAUUUGAAAUAAACUGUACUAUAAAUGUAUGUGUGUGCAUUUUUUUUUUAAACUGACAUGUCUGGUUUAGUGAGGGAAUACUGCAUUUUGGGUUAAAUUUUGUAUGCUCAUUUUACUGUUUUUUUAAAGUAAGAUACAGACACUAUUCAAUUAGUAAUCUACAAAGUUAAUUACUGAAACAGAUCUGACUGAAACUAAAUAUUUUUUUAUCAGUUAUAAGAGAAGAAAAUCACUCUUGAGUAAAUACAGUUUUUAGGGAUUUG